GGAUGUGAGGGCAAUCUGGCUGCGACAUCUGUCACCCUAUUGAUCACUAGGGUUGAUUCGACUGAUCUCUGACUAGCUAGGCGGGUGUCCCCUUCCUCCCUCACGGCUCUAUGUGUGUCCCUCCAGAAGCUCACUCUUGGUCGAAGAGGACGACCAUCCCCAGUAGUGGAGGAUCAUUCUUCUUGAUCAAGGGUAUACAAGUAGCUGUGCUCCCCUGCUAGAACCUCCAAACAAGUUCUCAAAAACUGAGAUCAGUUCGGAGCCCUGAGGAUAGACCAAACGUUAGCAGGUCUCACAAAUCUCUUAAAACUCCAUUCAGAGAGUAGAUUGAG
Vicugna pacos (alpaca) is the source of this 332-nucleotide unclassified non-coding RNA. Its record names the gene 7SK. It matches the Rfam family "7SK RNA". From Rfam's summary of the family: 7SK was discovered as an abundant small nuclear RNA in the mid-70s but a possible function has only recently been suggested. Two independent studies have found that 7SK RNA binds the CDK9/cyclin T complex (known as elongation factor P-TEFb). The record is from Ensembl. Lineage: Eukaryota; Metazoa; Chordata; Mammalia; Artiodactyla; Camelidae.